This 253-nucleotide ribosomal RNA is filed under the name uncultured bacterium. RNAcentral's name for it is "partial 16S ribosomal RNA". It matches the Rfam family "Bacterial small subunit ribosomal RNA", at positions 524 to 776 of the family's 1533-position model. The record is from RNAcentral.
UACGUAGGGUGCAAGCGUUGUCCGGAAUUAUUGGGCGUAAAGAGCUCGUAGGCGGUCUGUCGCGUCGGCUGUGAAAACCCGGGGCUCAACCCCGGGCCUGCAGUCGAUACGGGCAGACUAGAGUGUGGUAGGGGAGACUGGAAUUCCUGGUGUAGCGGUGAAAUGCGCAGAUAUCAGGAGGAACACCGGUGGCGAAGGCGGCAUCCUGGACCGAGAUCGACGCUGAGGCGCGAAAGCUAGGGGAGCAAACGGG